AGUCACUAAAAAUGUAUUUCUUAUGCAUAAUCAUUGAAACCAGAAAUGUAACCUGAUUCUGAAAUUGCAACAGAACAUUUUAUUCUGGUUUUCUUCAUGGGAAAUGACUGACUUUGGUAGAGUAGAAAUAGAAAGUUAGAAGCUUACGAAGAAGAACCAAAGAUGCAUAAUGCUCAAAAGAUCCAUUGCAAUAUUUGAUCAAUCAAAUUUCACAUGUAAAAUUUAAAAUGGCUAGAGAGUAUUGUAGCAUUGGCUUUGUAAAGAACUAAGCUAUAUGGGAAUUAAACUUUUGGCUGCUCAAAAGCUUUUGGAAAUAUCUGGUCAAAUGGAUUGAUUCUCAAACGCAGAGAUCGUUCCAGACGCCCCUGCGGGGUCACAGUCCCAGACCACACGCAUCUCUUCUCAACGUUCUUGUAUUUUCUCUGGCUCAGUCACCAAUGGCCACACCAGAUAUCUGAGAAAAUUUUUUCUCCUUUGACAGAAAACCUAUUCAAGAGGGGUUGUGUACAGAAAAAGUACCUAUUUCCAUCCAACUUCUGUAGCCUUUUCCCAUUAAUAUGCUGUGUUGCUAACAUAGAAAAGUCUGCCAUGGAAAGUGAAUUAAGUGUUGCUUUUAAGGAGCACGGGCUGGGAGGUUAGAAAGGAGAAUUUAAAGCAUGGUAAGAUACCACUCCUGGGAAUUCUGACACAUCAUAUUUCCUUAGUAUCAAGAUAUAUAUUCAAAACACAUAUUUAAAAAAGAAAAAAACCAGAAAAUUGGUUAAGCACAUGAGUCCUUCGUAUAACCAAAUACUGUAUUAUCACAGUUCUUAAUGUAGAUUUGUACUAAAUCUCAUUGAAAAUAGUCACAGAAGUGAAAAAAAUAAAUUACAGAACAUACGUGGUUGGUCAAAUUUUGUAAAAAUAUAUUUAUUCAUGGGCUGGCCCCGUGGCCGAGUGGUUAAGUUCGCGCGCUCCGCUGCAGGCAGCCCAGUGUUUCGUUGGUUCGAAUCCUGGGCGCGGACAUGGCACUGCUCAUCAGACCACGCUGAGGCAGCGUCCCACAUGCCACAACUAGAAGAACCCACAACGAAGAAUAUACAACUAUGUACCGGGGGGCUUUGGGGAGAAAAAGGAAAUAAUAAAAUCUUUAAAAAAAUAUAUAUAUAUAUAUUUAUUCAUGUGUUCAUACAAAAUCCGGAUAGAGAUACAUAAAUGCGUAAUAAUGGUGAUUAUCUCUGAAUGAUGGGGUUUUAGACAACUUUUUUUUUUUUUUUUUUUUUGCUUUACUGGUCCUAAUUUUUCCGGAAGGGCGUUGGAUUGAUUAUAUAAUAAAUAUGCUGAAUACAAUAAAAAGUACCAUAUUUCCCAGUGUCCCAGCCUCUAGUCAAUGAAAUGACUAGUGGGAAUGAAAGUGGGUCCACAGUGUUUGGAGUGGAUUUCGUGGCCUUUCUAACUGUUGCCUUACCUGCCAGCUCUCUUGCUUUGAAAACUUCUGUCCUACAUUAAAUGCUGGAUGGGUUGAUGGAAAACCAUAGCUGGCUUUAGCUUUUACCGUAAAUGAAAUGGGCUCAUUUUAUCUUGUAGUCUGAAUGAAAUUUACGAUCUAGAUAUGGCUGGUUUGUAAGUACGGCAUGAGGUUGUGUGCGUUAAGAUUGCAUCAAAAUGGUUUCUGCAUUUUAAUUAUUUACUGCUGUUUUUAACUAUGAAAGAAUAGAGAUCAGAAAAAGAGGCCCUCGCCAAACUAUGAAUGGCUGAAGUGUGCCAUAUUCAGUAUUCUGUGUCCGUUAGGACUAAGGCAGAGCUGUCUUUUCUCUAAUAGCAUAGUCCACUACACUUAACUUUGUAUCCCUCUUCGUGUUAGUUAAGUUAUGAGGGCAUUAGAAGAUUAAAACUAGUACUUGAGUCUUUAUGACACACUGUUCUACAAACAGCCUCUAACUUUUAAUAAACAUUGUUUUACCAUAAGAGAAAAAUUAAUCUGUAACUAUGGACUUGUUUCAGGUUUUCCUUCAGGAGAGAUUGAGCUGGUAGGCUAGGAUAGCACCUGGUCGUGGUGUUUACAUAAGGAGAAAGAUGACUAAGACUCAAAGAUGCCUUGACUCAAAGGUAAGUAGCAGAAGUUGCUGAUCAUAAGAAAGCAAGUGUGAAAAAGACAAUUAACCCACAUAUUGAAAGUACACUAAAAUCCUGUUUUACAGAUGAGGGAACCAAGAAAUGACAGAGUCAAGAUUUUAGACAAUUUUUGUUUGAUUCAAAACCCACUUUCCAUGAAACUAUAAUAUCCUUAUAGUUUUACUAUGCCUCUGUUAGUAUUUCUUAUGCUUUGCACAGGGCCACCACAUAAUAAAUGCUGUAGGUGUUUGCUCACUGAUACGACAAUGAAAAGAAGUGUUUAUCAUCAUAUUCACAUAUAUAUGGCUAAUGGAAAUUUUUGCAACAUAGAAAAAUCCAAAAGACGUUAAAUUUUUGUUGCUGUAAUUGUGAAUCUCGUGUAUUCUUUCCUGAAAGGUGUUGUGAUACAAAACAUUUAAACUUGCUUAUUGAGAAGAAAGAAGGCUUCUACUCAGUUUUGAUCCCAUUCCAAACCAAAGGAACUCUUGUGCUAGGUUUUGAAACAAAGCGCUGAAAUGAUACAUGUCCCUUGCUAGACUGUAAACCACAGUCCCUUAAUCCAGAUGACCUCAAGGCUUGACCAGAGAAUGCUCAGCUGCUUCUUCCGGUUACCUUUUCAUGCUGGCUUGUCCUUAAUAUAGCUCAUGCUCCCCAGAUGUAUCAGCUGCUCGCUCUCAUUAACCCUUGCUGGUCUCAUAGGCAUUAACCCUUGCUGGUCUCAUAGGUGACAUGGGCUGCUUCUCUCAGACACAGGGGGCAAGAAAUAUCUCCUAAUAGAGAAAUUUGCAGAUGUUUCAAGUGCCAUCAGGGCAGGACAAUACCAUGCAGCAAAGCUACUGAAUGCAUGUUUUUAUUUUAAAUGUUUUAUUUUUGAAAAUUAAAAAAAAUAGAAUAAUAUCGUAAACUCCCCAUGUGCCAUUUUGCAGCUCCAACAAAAUGAUUUCAUAUAUACCCUUACCCACAUCCACCUUCUCAAAUUGUUUUGUAGCAAAUUCCAGACAUUUUAUUUUCUGAAUAAACAUUUCAUUAUGUAACUCUAAAAGAAAAGGACUCUCUUCUUGUUACGUAACCACAAUAUCAUAAUUGUAUCUUAAAAAUGAUUAAUUCUGAAUGUUAUCAAAUAUUCAGUCAGUGUUCAAAUUUCCAAUUAUAUCUUUAAUGUCAUAAGUUUUUCUAGUUUGAAUCAGGAUCCAAACAAGGCCUACAUGUAAUGAUUGGUUAAUAUGUUCCUUUUACAUUUCUUUUUGCCUACUGAUUUCCCCUCAUCUUUUUUUUUCCUCUUUGCAAUUUAUUUGCUGAAGAAACCUGAUGGUUUGUCAAGAUUGUUAGGAUUUUGCUGGUUAUAUCCCCAUAGCAGUUUAACACGUUCCUCUUUCCUCUGGAUUUUCUUUAAAUUAGUAAUGGGAUCUGGAGAACUGACCGGAUUCAGAUUUGAUUUUCUGAAAAGACUCCUCAUUAGGAGGUGCUUUGUUCCUCCAUCAGAAGAAUCUAAUAUCUGGUUAUCUUUCUCUUUUUGAUAUUAGCAUAAUCAAUGCUCAAUGCCUAAUGGUGAUUCAUUUUGGGUUACAAAAGGAUGAUGUUCCUAUUCUAUCAUUCCUUUUUUAUUUGUUGGCUGAAAUACCACAAUAAAGAAAAUCUUACUCUUAUCUACUAUCUGAUGACCCAGUGGUUCUUUGUUUGUGAGUUUUCAAAGUAAUCAUUGGUUCUCUAAUGUUAUCUAAUGACUGAACAAUUAUUUUUUUAAAUAUCAUUGUGAACUCACAGAUUGAAAUUUAUUUGAUGUGUUUCAAUCUUUUGAAGGUUUUUUUCCUCAUUGAUCUUCAAGUUGCCUCACCUUUUACAGUCUCUGCAAGUUGAUUGCUAAGUCUUUAACACAAAGCUUGUGAUCUUUUAUAGCUUCCUUGGGAUCUGAUGUGAUGAGAGUUUCCAAGAAGAUUUUGUAUAUUUCCUAUCCCAGACCUGGAAUUAGCUGGUUCUCCAAGGAGCUCUGACUAUUUUCAGAAGGAAACUGGAUUUCAACAGCAAAUUCUGUGUGCUGGAGGUACUCAUUGCUACUGGGUGCAUCAGUAUUUCUAGGAGUUUUCAGUUGAAAAAAUUAGAAAGUCGUUUUUUCAAGCAGAAAAUAUCAGUUUAUAUUGAUACUUCAAAUUCGGGACUAAAAGGUCUUCACUUAAUCUCUUCUUUCUCACGUGUGUUUUUCCCUUCUCUCUUGCCAAGAAUCUUGCUUAUGAAGGACACUGGAUAAUAGGAUUAUAAUAUUGCAGAAUUAUAUUUUAUGUACGCAACACUUUUUGAAUUACAAAACCAUCACUACCACCCAUAAUGUGAUUACUGAAAAUUGUUUAAAGUCUUUUCCAGCAUUUUUUGUCCUUAGGGCAUAUGUUAUUAGGGAUCUAUCAUCAAAAACUAUUUAGUUGGAUUAGUUUCUGUAUGGUUAUACCAGCAACCAGUUACUCAUUUAGAUUCAUUUAUCUCGUUUUAAUUUCAAUUUUGGGGGAUUAAAUUUUUUGUUAUAUAAAAUUCCUACAUGGUUUCAAAGUCAAUGCUAUAAAACAAGACGUAUUCAAAGAUGUCUACCUUCUAUCCCUAUUCCUACAUCCUACUCACUCUGUACCUUUCGGGGAGAAGUCGACAUUAGGAUUGGUACGUAUAACUAUUACAUACUAUAUUUCUUCCCUUGUGGGAAGAAUAAGGGAAGAAAUGAUGCUGCUUUUCAUAGUGCUACUUUUAUGCAUAGUCCUACAAUUAACUAUAUGCUAAUACUCACCAACAGUCCUUAAAUUGAUAUAUCUCCAGUCAUUUUAAUUGUUUUAAGGUUAUUUUCUAGUAGAUACCUCAGAGAUGACUCAGGGGAUAAUGAAAAGAGUUUGACUUUACACUUAAAAAACAGUUUAUCUGAGUAUAAAAUACUUGGCUCAGAUUAUAUUUUUCAGUUUACCCCAUAAGGGAUAAAAUGUUGCUAUUGAAAGUUCUCGACAGUUUGUUUUUCUUUCAGUUCUAUGUGACUUAGACUUUUUGUCCAGAUGUCAAAAGAAUUGACUCACUUUCUUUAACAGUCAGUAAUCUCAUUAGACUUUUCUCAGUGGUACAUAGUGCACCUGUACAACGUGUAUUUUCAGAUAUAUAGUCCUAAUUUUAGGAACGUUUGUUUUUAAUUAUAGAUUUUUUUUAAAUAUCUCUCUCAUUUAAUGCUUUGAUUUUCUUCUUUGAGGACUCUUAUACAUAUGUUGUUUCUUCUUUUCCUAUCUUCCUUAAAGUUGAAUGUACCAGAGAUUUCCAGAAGGCUGAUAUCUGAAUUGCACCUAUAAAAAGCCUAACUUUGAGUGAUGAUUAAAUUGUACGGAACAUAAUCCAAGGAUAGAAGUGAUUAACAAGAGGUGAAUUGAAUGCGUGUUCUCUAUAAAUGUGACACCCAACAGGCUGCCUGUGUCCUAGUAAUCUUAUGUCCUCUUAUUUUCUUAAGUGGCCAAAAUAAGAAAUUAGAUGAAAUUUACUAUUGCAUUUGAGAUUAUGCAUAGUUUCCAAAGUAAAAUAAAACAGUCUCAGGGGAAAAUAUUUAUAAUUCGCUGCUAGGCAAAGCUUUGUUUUCCUUGAGAGCUAUGUUUCCUUUUCUUGAUGAGAGUCAUCAUAAUUAGGCUUUCUAUUUCCCCUUGGCUGCUAGGAAUCCAAAUUGUGGCUCAGUCUUGCAAUAAUAAACAUAAUUACGCAGAGAUCCUUACUGCAUGCAUGUAUUCGUCAACGUGGUCCCAACUUUUACUUCAAAGGUUUUUAAACUUUGAUGUCAAAGGACAAGCUUGCAGAGAAAUUGUAUACAAAAUUUUGUUUGAAUAUGCAUUUUUUUUCUGGGAAAGUCUGGACAUUUCAUCAGAUUCUGAUUCUAAAAGGCAUCUGUGAUACAAAAAGAAUGUUAAAACUUCUGUUCUUAUAUUAUUUAAUUUCAUUUAUAAAAUAGAAACUUCUGUUCUAGUUUAAUUUUAAACUCUCAGUUACUUACAUCAAAAUAAAUUGCUUACUUUUGGAAUCACAUGAAACAUUUUUUAUCUUGACAAAAUGUAAUUAAUAAUGAACUGAUGAAUUUACAGUGUAGACUCUAAUCACUGAAAAUCAAGUCAUGCCAUUUGCAAGUCAAGAUCGUGUAAUACUGGGAAAAAGCUAAGCUCUUUUUCUACAAUUAUUAUUAAGGGUCUGAUGAAAAGUCAUUGCCUGGGUUCACUAACUUUGGAAAGAAGGCUAGCAUUAUAUGUGGUCAUUCUAAAUAGUAUCCCCCUUAAAACAGGUUGAGACACAAACCACUUCAAUAAAGUCACUUACUAUUUCUACAUAAGCUAGUUUCAUUUUAUUUCUUCUCUAAGUUUCUCUUCCUCCUACCAUUGCUUUGUGUAUUUUUGUGCAUGGGUAAAUGUCUUGCAGUCUUUUGGUAAAUAUUUAUCAAAUUGGUCGUAUGCUUGUUACCAUGUAACAGAUGCCUCUGAAGAAAUGCUUCAUCCACUUAACUAAGUAUUAAGAGCUGCAAAUAGUUCCCUUGCUUGGUGCAUAAAGAUGAAAUAUAUUGUAAGAUAGAGUGUUUUGUAGAAUUAAAAUAAAUAGUAAAAUUAUAUUAAUAUAAUGUCUAUCUGUCUAUCUACCUACCUACCUACCUAUCUAUCUAUCCUAGUAGGGUGAAGAGGUAGAAAAAGGCAUACAGUGCUUGUUAAAGCAAAGCUGACCAAACUCAGGAGCGAAAAUUAAGCUCAUACGUGGAAAUCCAAAGUAUCUCAAUUAAAUGGAAUCACUUAUCUAGAAUGCAUUCAUUUUUUAUUUUGCCAAUGAUUUAUUUUUAAUUAUUUGUGGCAAUUAUUUAACUCUUUUCCUAGCAUACAAUAAGUUCUGUAAUUCUGUGAACAAUAGAUUGGCAUUUAAAUAAAAAGAGUUUUGUUUACUUGAGAAAUAAAAUUAACUUCUUCCGAUUAUGAACCUAUAGGAAAUAUGGUUGCAGUUUACAUUCUUCUUGCAAUUGUCUAAGAAGUUAGCAUUAUGUCUAAGAAGUUAGAAUAAUUUCUCCCUGUUUUGCUAUUCUUAAUGCAAUUGGAUUAAAUUCGAGAAUUUAGAGAAUUUAGAUUUGACUUGACAUUUCAAAAUAUUUAGAGGGGGCUGGCCCCGUGGCUGAGUGGUUAAGUUCCCGCACUCCGCUGCAGGCGGCCCAGUGUUUCGUUGGUUCGAAUCCUGGGCGCGGACAUGACACUGCUCAUCAAACCACGCUGAGGCAGCGUCCCACAUGCCACAACUAGAAGGACCCACAACGAAGAAUAUACAACUAUGUACCGGGGGGCUUUGGGGAGAAAAAGGAAAUAAUAAAAUCUUUAAAAAAAAAAAUAUUUAGAAAGUGGCUGAUGAUUAAAUGUUGAAGGGUAAUAUACAUGAUUUUCCAUGACAUGAAUAAAAACAUCUAGAUGAAAUUUCCCAAAUCAUUUGCACUUUAGGCAAACGAUCACACAGUUUUGAUGUGUUGAGUUAUUCAGUCAACAAGAAUUAGUAGUUAACUUGCAAUUUGAUGGACCUGAGAUGAGGAGAGAAAUAUCUGAGGUUGGAAUUUGUUUGUGUGAAUGUUUUUUAAUAAAUUGUGGAGUCAGCUUAAAUGCCUAAAGUGGAUUCUGACACUGACACUCUUUUCUUUUUCCCUGCCGAUUCAAUUCACAGAGCCAGUGGCACUUAAGUGGUCAAAUAGUUAGGUUACAAGUAUUUAUUAAGGUAAGCAAACCCUCACCCGUUGCAUGUGGUCAGACAUCUGAUUUUAAUUAUGGGAGAGGUGGAUAAACAUUGAUGCUAUGGUUAGAUAGAAGCUGGUAUGCCUUUUCUAAGCUCAUUAGAGCUUAUAGCUUGCCAGUUUACACACACAGACACUCGAGGUCUGAAAUAAAGAUUUGUUUCUGUAUUCUUUGUUUCUGUAUUCUACUGAUUAUCUUUUAGAGAGAUAAGUGCAGCUUCAAAUGUAACCCUAGAUUAAAAAAGCAAAAAAUACAAAAACAAAAAUUGACUAGCUCUCAGGUCACGUUCUCUCACACCCACCCUCCAGUCCCAAGCCCUAGGUCUAACUGGAGCCAUGUUACUCAGUUAUUUAUCUCCAAAUCACAACCCUAAUUUCUCUACCACUGCACAUUUUCCCUAACUGAGCUCUAACACCUGCCAGAAACAAAAGACCGAAAACAACAUCAAAGAAAACCCCACAAAGGUUUUGUUUAACUUCUCUUCCACCUCACCUCCCAUCAAAUGAAUUCCUUAGAGGGCGCAUCAUGAUUAGUAAUGCCAGUUUUCAGUAGAACCGCUCUACUAAUUUCACAAAAAUCAGAAUCAUAAAGAUAGAGGAUUGAACACCAUUCACGUGUUCUUGUUUCUUCUGCAUUUUAUGCUAUCAUUCUAAAAAGUAAAACUGAUUUUUACUAAUGUGUCAUCAUGACAUAUGAAGCACGUCAGGGAAAAUUUACUUUAGUAAACAGUUAACAUUUUACAGUAGCCUCGCUGAGCUUUACCGCUGAUGUUAGUUUUUCAUAUUUCUUUUUCCUCAACCACCAUCAACUUUAUUUUAAACUUAUGUGCUUCCUAAAUAGAGUUUGGAUGACUUUUCAUCUCUGUUUUCUACUUCUCCUUGUUUUCUGUAGUCUCAUUACCCAAGAUAAGCGAGGACAAAGUUUCUAAAGGUUUUGUGAUAUUGAUCACCUCUUGAACUGAGGAAAUAAUCUGGAAAUAUAUUCCACGCCCCUUUGCCUCUAAGUAAAACCACGUGCAUAACCAACCAUUACUGAAGGAAGACUCAGGAUCCCAGAGACAGGUGACCUGUGGUUACAGGCACCGUUUUAGAGAUCAGACCAGCUCUGAGUUGGCAAGCUAUUUAAAAUAUAUCUGUUCUACAGAUUCCACCUGCUGUAUAGGGUUGUUUAUAUAGUUCUGUGUAAAAGGUAUCAGUGGGAAACAACUAAACUCCUAUUACCAUGGCUAAAAUUAAUAAAACAGCAAGCAAACACUUGCCAAUAUAAUACAUGUUUAUUCCCAUCUUGGCAUCUGUUUCUUGGAGGACUAAAGUGUGGAUUUCACUGUAUGUAAAUUAUAGUUCCCCAAAAAAAGUCAUAAUGCCUGGCAUAUAGUAACAGCUCCAUAAAAUGCGAUUUUUGAUAGCUCUCAAAUGCCAGACGUGUUACUCCUAUGCAAAAAUGACAAUGAAAAUAUUACUUUGACAGCUUUAGUUAAGUAGUUGCUUAAGAAUUUCAGUGCUGUGUUUGAAUUAACUUUAAGUACACUUUGGUCAAAAUAAGGAGCUUAAGGAUUUCCAAUAAGGAUUCAGUAUACUGGUGAAUUUAAUGACGCUUUAAUAGUUUUAAACGAAUUAUUUAAAUAAAAAUUAUUCAAAAAUAUUCAAAAAGUCUUUUUUCCCCUGGAAUUAGUUAGAAAAUUUUAAAUAUCCAGAAUCUAUCAUUUGCAUGUUUUGCUUCUUUUCAAAUUUCAAAAGUAAUACAUUUGUGUUGUAAUAAGUGAAACAACAUAAUACAGUUCAGAAAUGGGCAAAGCUAGCAAUCACCCACCCCUCCCUAGAAGUCAGUAGGAGAGAUCCACCUUGUUCUUCUAACUUCUAUAAGCCUACGUAUGCACAUAGGAUUCUAUACAAAUCCUAUCAUAGUAUGGAUCCUUUAUUAGUCGUCUUCUCCCAAGUUUGAUUUUCUGCUUACCUCACUUCCCCUCCCCAUCCUUCGCUUUCAUUGCUGCUUCCACUCCCUGGAUUAUGUAUCCUUUUGUGAUCCUAUGUAUAUACACAUUGCAUGCACUUUUUCGUAAUUGUUUACUUUACAAAAAUAUAAUAUUAAAUACUCUUCCCUACAGGUCAUUUUCCUCAUUCAACACACUUUGGAAUACCCCCAAGCCCCAUGUCAGUUCGCAUAGCUUAAUUAUUCUUUAACAAUAGUUGCUAAUAUUGCAUAAUAUUCCACGAAUAAUAUAUUGAAUCAUUUUCCAUUUGAUUGACAUUCAUCUUGCUUACAUUUUAUUUUUUGCCACUUUAAACAAUGCUGCAGUAAUUUUUUUAUAUAUUUCCUUUUAUAUAUUCUGAUACCCUUAUACCCAUAAGAUAGAGUCCCAAAAGUUAGACUGUUGGACUGAAGUGUAUGCAAAUUUCUAAUUUUAAUAGAUAUUGUCAGGUGUUUUCCAAAAAGACUGUAAGCAUUUACAUAUCCACAUUUUUCACCUCACCCGUGCCAUCAAUAGAUAUUAUCGCUCAUUUUGUGUUUUUAUAGUCAUAUCCGAGUUGUUGAGAACUGUCAUAAGACAGUUUCUGGCUCUUGGAUAACUGAGUAGCCUUUAACGACUAGAGGUAGGAGGGAACUAUGACUUCUUCAUCCCAAUCUCACAGUGAUCUCUUAAAUCAAAGCCAGUCUCAAACCUAAUUUUUUGCAUGUACGUUUAUUAGCAAGCAGUCACCCAAACGAUCUAGCUGUUCCUCUAAGCAGUCUAAAGUCCCUACUCUCUGUCCUUACCACAGUCUCAGAGCACCUUGCUUUAAAGGUUUAUCGCAAAGGAAAUGCAAGAAAAAUGUUGAAGCAAGACGCUUCUUUUCAUUCUUACUAAUUUACUAGAUGACAAACCCUCCAUUAAGUGGUUGCUGUGGAAGAGUGGGACUCUGGUGGCAUAUGGAGGUCUGGUCCUAAGGCUUUAUUUGCUGCAAAAGCGUUAGAAUGUUAAGCUCAGAUUCCUUUACCCUAUUUGUGAAAGUGCGGAGGAGCCCACACUAAUCUUCCUUGCUAAUCACAUAUCUUCAUCACCACUCAUUUCACCAGUGAAAACUCAUUUUUAAUCAACAAAUGCAAUAGUGGAGAUUUAGACCUUGCAAUUUAAAGUACUUUUCGUAUUCACUUCUAGAGAGUAGACACCUUAUAGGGUUUCUCAAGGGCUAACUAACCCACCAUGGAGUGUGAAUUCAGGAUUAGUAAACCUUAAAUGUUAACUGACUUCUCCAGACUAUAAAUUGAAGAUAACUUACACAUAAUAUGGUACAAAUUGAAAUAUUUUAAAGUAAAUACAGACAGUGCAGUAGGUAUAAGGCAGCAGCUUUGCUGCUCUUCCCAUAGAAAAUAGCAAUAGAAAGGAAAACACAUUUCUCUAUUUUAUCAAAUAUGCCUCACUAAUUUAAAGGCAUCAGUAGUGGGACCACCAUUGGGCUCCUCCUUACAGGAGGAGAUGAGAAAAAAGACAGCAGCCAGAAUCCAGCAACUGAGUGGAUGUGUUCAUGACCUCAUGGGUACAGCAUUAAAUGCUUAGAGAAAGAAGCCUUAUUGCUUGCAAUCUGCAAAUGUAGACAAACUGUUCCUGUAUCACAAUGUUUGGUGUUUUCACAAUUCUUCCUAAUGGUCAAAGCAGUUCAGUUAGGAUUCAAAAUACCCAAGGCUGCACUAUAAGUGGUAACAAACUGAUUGAAACAAAUUCUUUUUCCACAGCCCACACUCAUAUUUCUUCAAAGGAGAAUCUGAAGGCACAGUUACAGAGCUGGAAAUAGUUCCAUCAUUUUCCAAAGUUUGGAAAAAUAUUCAGAAGACACACUGAUAUAAUUACUGAAUUUAAACUGUAGGUCUAAUGUGAUAAGCAUUUACAGUAUGCCGGCAUGAAAUGCUUUCCCAAAGGUGACAGAAUCACUUUGAGUAACAGCCAUUUGGUUGCCUUUGCUUUUGACUGUGUGAUGGGAGCGUAUCGUGGUCACUGCAGUCUGAUAAAUGACCUUCCCAUCAUUCUCAUUUUGUGGGUUUAGGUCAGACACCCAUAUUGUGACUUGGUUGGUGUGGAGGCUGGUGUUUUACUGUAUUUUUAGAAUAUUUAGUCUAUUUAGAAAGUUUACAUAAUUUUGGUUACACUGACUAAAGUGACUAGGACUAAAAAUAAGAUUGGCCUUACUAAAACAAACUCUUCUUGCAUUAGAAGACGGCACUGUGUGCCAGUGUUCAUUCAAAGUCCUUCUGAUUCUGGGUUUGGUGCUUCAUAUUACAAAUAGGGGUGCUUGCGGAUGAGAGAAAAAAAAUCUUGUCUCUGUUAUUGGUAGGGACAGAAUAUUCCUGAAGGGCAAAAUGAAAAAUGUCUUUUUACCAUGCCACUUGAUCUAGACUAGAGAUGGCAAGUAAGUUUUAUUUAUUUUGCCAACUCUAAGGAAUUGAUAGUGGCUCCCCAGAGCACUCUGUAGAAAGGAAUUGGGAGAGAAGGUUGGUACCCUGAUAGAAAAGAUGCUAAUUCGUUAGUGAUAACUGCCAAGGACUGAGUGUGAGAGGAGAGACAGAACAUGAGUAACAUAUCUGAUAUUUCUAGACUAGUGGAAAGUGAGAGGGGUAUAGUCAAAUACUCCAUUUCGAGUUGAUAUUCCCUGGGUAGUUUAUACCACACUUCAAAUCUACUGAAUCAGAAAUUCUCUAUGAGCUGGUUUUUAAAAAUAAAUUCUCUAAUGGGUGAAGGGAUAAAGAGGUAUGAGCUUUCAGUUAUAAAAUAAAUAAGUCAUGGGGAUGUAAUGUACAGCACAGGGAAUAUAGACAAUAAUAUUGUAUUAACAUUUUAUAAGGACAGAUGGUAACUAGACUUUUUGUGAUGAUCAUUUUGUAAUGUAUAUAAAUGUUGAAGCACCAUGUUGUAAAUCUGAAAUUAAUAUAAUAUUGUAUGUCAAUUUUACUUCAGUAAAAAGCUCCAAUAUUUAUGGUGUAUAAAUAUAUAAAAUACCUUUUCACAACUAUUACACACACAUUAAAGAAUUCUAAUUUGUAAUUAAUUUUAAUUAAAGAUUAAGAAUUUCAAUUAGUUAAUUUUAAUUCUUUUAAGAAUUGUGCUUGAAUAGUAGAGAUGAAGCCAAUUUUUGCUUAAUAGUUAAAUAGCAUGUUAAGAAUAUUUUUUAAGAUGGGGUUUUAGUGAAGAUUGAAAUCACUGGAAAAGUAUAAAGAAAUGUACGUAGAUGAGCAAAAUAUAUGAGUGUUAGUCUACAUUUAUAGUCUGAAAACCAACAAACACCUUCCCUGGCCAAACUUGUGUAUAUCUUGUGUAUAAAUUUUUAGACACUUCUCAUUUUAUUAUAAAUUGUUUUUUAAAGAUUUAUAUUAAUGUGGUAAAAAUACCUGCUCGUGUCUUUCGUUUCAAAACUGGAGGAUUUACUUUUUCUUAUUGGUCUGUAGGGUUUCUUUAUACAUUCUAGACAGUAAGCCUUUAUAGCUGUAUAAAUUUCAAAUAUAUUUUUCUAGUUUGUGAAUUAGUUUUUCAUUUUGUUCAUGGGGACUUUUGAUGACAAGAAGUCCUUAAUUUUAAUAUAGUCAAACAUUCAUCUUUCCUUUUAUGGCUUAUGCUUUUUUGUGUCUUGUUUAAGAAAGCCUUCCCAACCCUGAUGUGACAAAGAUACUCUCUUAUGCUCUCGUCUAAAAGUUUAUAGUUUUGUCUUCUACGUUUGUCACUAAUCCACUUGGAUUUUAGUUUUGCAUAUAGUAUGAAACAGUGAAUUUUCACAACACAAUUACUGAACAGUCCAUCUUUCCUUCAAUGAUGCCUGAGAUCCACUCUCAUGAUUCAAGCUUUCGUCUACGUUUGGGUCUCUGUUCAGUUUUCUAUUCUUCUCCAUUAGUUGUUUAUCUGUAUUUUUCUGUUGCAAAGGUAUACAUUUAAUUUCCCACAUCUUUAAGAUAAGUCUUGAUGUCUGAUAGUGCAGGUCCCUCCAGCACCACCACCCAUUUCCCAACUCUGUUCUUCUUAAGGAGUUUCUUGAUUAUUCCUGGAUUUUUCACUUGCAUAUAAAUUUUAGGAUCAGCUGCUAAAGUUCCACAGUAAACCCUUGUCUUGGCUUGGGUUCCCUGGGAAACAGACUCUGAGAUGGGAAUUUAUGUGCAGAAGUUUAUGUCCUUGCAGUCAAUACCUGAGAAGGAGUGAGACAAGUAGGGUGGGGCAGAGGGAGAAGUUGAACCGUGGUGCGGGUUCAUCAGAGGCCUCGGUGGAUAUCAUGGGGAGCUCUGGAGCUGGUGGGCUCUUCAAAGAUGUCCCAAAUUGGGUAAAGGGGCCAGGCCUUUUAACCCCCACAUCUACCAAAUGUUGCAUCUGGACUACUUCCACGAAGAGAAUAUGAUAUCACAUUGGGUAAGGCAGCUCCCUUCGGCCAACAAGCAAUUCUUCCAGAGAGAGUCAACUAUAACCUGUCAGCAGUCAACACUCCAGGCAGCUCGGGGAAUGAGUGCCGUGGUGGAUUUGGGUGCUGCACUACAGCACAGGGAUUCUGCUUGUUCUCUUUUCUGGGGAAAUUUACAAGAGGAAGUUUGGUGAUUGCACCUAAUUACUCAAGUAACUAAUUACUCAAGUUACUCAAGCUUGUAACUCAUAAUUCCCCUUCUCCACCACAUUUUCUAGAUUCCCCUCACCCCCUACUAGCACUUCUGUUGGUCUCAGUGACUUACAGAAGGCAUGACGCAGCCCCUUAUCCCCUAAAGAUCUGAUCUAAUUAUCAUGGCCUUCUUAGGAUAUGGCUCCUGCACUUGUCCGUUUACUGUCAAAAUUUGGCAAGGGAGUUGCAAGAGAUGAUAUAGUGGUUCACACAGGUGCCAAAGGUAUUCUUCCUUGUCUGCGUCGUAUAUCAGCAGCCCCACCUCCUCCUGAAGAUGAUUAAAGUCAGUUAUCCCCUUUUCUUGUCUGAUUGGGCAGUACCUGUAGUUUAAAGCUCAAUCAAACUCUAGCUGUUUUCUUAGUGGAAACACUCCCCAUCUGGGGACCAGGAACUCUAGACCUACAGGUUGCAGAGAUAUAUCCUGGAGGAUGGCAUCCCAUCUUUUUAAGGCAUCAUUCUCAAGUCGAUGCCUCAGCUGUACCUUCAAAAAGCCAUUCAGUUGCUCUAGGAGGACACUAUAUGCUUGGUAGUGUUCUGUGAUACGACCAAUUGGAUCCCAUAGAAAUGUGUCUAUUGCUAUACCAUCUUGGCUGUAAAGUGAGGCCCUUGGUCUGAGACAAUGUUAGGUAGUGGUCUCUGUUCUGUGUUGGCCAAUCACUGUAUGCCUUCAGUUGUGCGGGCCAAGGUCCUGCAGGCAGGAAAGGAAAACUAUACUCACAAUAUGCAUCAGUUCUAGAUGAAAUAAAUGGCUGCCCCUGCCAAGGGUGAAAGUGGUCCUGUCUCAGUUUCCUAGGGCUACAGUAACAAACUGCCACGAACUGGAUGACUUACAAUAACAGAAAAUUCUUCUUUCACAGUUCUUCAGGCCUGAAGUCUAGAGUCAAGGUCUUGGCAGGGCCAUGCUGUCUCUCAUAGCUUCUUGUGGUUGUCAGCAAUCCUUUGUGUUCUUUAAUUUACAGCUAUAUAACUCCCAUCUCUGCCUCUGUUGUCACAUGGCUGUGUCCUCACAUGCGUUCUCCUCACUGUUUGUGUCUGUCUCUGCAGCUCUUCUCUCUAUAAAGAUACCAGUCAUUCUGGGUUAAGGACCCACUCUACUCCACCUCAUCUCACCUUCCAUCUUAACUACAUCUUCAAAGACCCUAUUUCCAAACAGGGUCACAUUCACAGAUACCAAGUGUUAGGAUUUCAACAUAUAUUUUGGGGGGCACAAAUAUAUCUUUUGGGGGACCACAAUUCAAGCCACAACAGAUCCAGUGUAAUCAACUUGCCACCAAGUGGCUGCUUGUUCUCUGUGAGAGAUAUGCUGAAUUGGGGGGCUCAGGACUGCUUUCUGUUGCUGGCAGGCUGGUAUCUGGUGGUAGCAGUAGCUAGACUAGCCUUGGUGAGUAGGCACACUUGUUGUUGGACUCCUGCGCAGCCUCCUUCCCUGCCACCACAACUACUUCGUUCUUGAGUCCAUUGUGCUGGCACUGAGGUGACCAGUGGCAGAGGCUGGUGGAGGCCAAUUGUUUACACUAUUCUGUCUAUUGACUGCUUGGUGAAUGCUCACUGAUGGGUAUUGUGUAAAUUAAAGACACCGUGUAUCUAAGGCUGUGUCAAUCUGCUCUAGCAAAGAUACCUUAUCUCUUGGUGGAGUUUGCAGUAGACUACUGUCAUCCACCAGGAUCCAUCUAGUUUCUGUGAGGGCCCCAAAGGAGAAUUAAGUGGGUACACAGUGGAGACCACCACCUCUGCACACUUUAGGACUUGAAGGGUAGUGCUCAUCUCUGGCAUCUACCCCCCAUUCCAAGAUGCAAUAUUGUUUGUAAUUACAGUUUGGGCCAGAAAAAGGAGAGAAGUUUCUGAAAUUUCAACAUGGCCUUCCAUGCUGGGAUAGGUGUUAUUCUAUGGAUCAAAAAAUAAGUGUUGGGGCCGGCUGGGUGGUGUAGUGGUUAAGCUUGUGCAGUCAGCUUCGGUGGCCCAGGGUUCGUGGGUUCGGAUACCAGGCGCAGACCUACACACUGCUCAUCAAGCCACGUUGUGGCAGCAUCCCAAAAAUAGAGGAAGAUUGGCACAGAUGUUAGCUCAGGGCCAAUCUUCCUCACCAAAAAAGUAAAUAUAGUAAGUAUGAAGGUUAUGCCAUCUACCAACUAUACUGUUUUCAUUUUAACUCCAGGGCUGGGAGAAAUGACCACUGACUGAAUCCAUGGACUCAAUGGACAUUCUGUGAGCUGGACCUGGAAAAAUGAGGAAAUCAAGACACCAUGGAGCCCUUUGUGGGCGGAGCCAAUGAUGCCCAUGGGCCAUCCCUUGCCCUCCAGGUGAGCGCCCACUGCAGGUGACUGUAUUGCCCACUGACUGUCCAACAGGAGAGUGCCCUGCUAUGUCCUAAGACUGUCAGCUUGUCUAAGUUACCCUGUGUCAGCAACUGACUCAUAGGCCAAGGGUACUCCUAAGUCUCUCAGACUAGAGGAUGCAGCCCAGGACACCCAAGAAGCAGUGGUGAUAUGGAAAAGUUUGGAUGGUAUCGUUCAGAUCCAUCGUAAGAACUGUACUUCCCCUCCACCUGCCCCAUUGCACAUUCCCCGAAAGAGGCGGUGGUGAAGCCUUUGGCCGUGACAAAGGAAUCGUAAUACUGGCACUAAAGAGCAGACUCUUUUAUCUCUCUGAUAUCUGUUUUCCUACCACUCUACUGUGAAUUAACUCUCAAAAAAAUAGCUAGUGGAACUGAAGUAGAAAAGAGUGGCAGAAUCUCUCAUACCAGAGAGGAAAUAUAACUUGGUAGAAGCGGCAUUAUUUAAUAUUUAAGAGCACAGAUCUUGAAGCCAGAAUCAGCGACUUCCUACUCUUCUGACUGUGAGCAAACUACUCAUUUGAGCCUGUUUUCUCACUUGUGAAAUGAAGAUAAUACCUUUCUCGUUUAGUAUGACACCUAAAUGGGAUAGUACAUACUCGCACCCACACACAUAGCCACGCAAUAAACCUGGUUACAUCAUUCUCAUCUCUUGGCACUACUUUCAUCCGAAUUUACUGAACACGCAUUACCUUUGGCUGCUGUAAGUUGACUCCAGUGCAGACAAAGUUCUACAAGACCAGCAAGCAGGGUGAUGCCUUCGUGUUCCCGGAUCCCUAGCAUCCACAUACCCAACAGCAGCUUUCCCUCACAAGAGGAGUGCAGCAAGGGGACUGUGAUAAUCACCUACUGGUCUCAGAUCCAAGAGAUGUCUCUAUCAAAAUUACGUGCAAGGGGUCCUCAGGCCCAGAAUAUCUGUGUCACCUUGGUCUCAAGUUUCAGGGAUAAACUUACGUAAACAUUUGAAAAAAUGGAUAACCUAAAAGGAAAUUGGCUAAGAGAUGAAGUGCAACAAGGAAACCAAAAUUGAUAAAGCUGCAAGUGAAGUUCUAAUUGAGCAUAAAUGGAGUCAGGGAAGAAAUGGCCAUCUGUGGGAAUGUUGACACCAUCACUGUUUUCCAGAGACGAUAGACAUGCAUCCAGAGGAACUCAGUGAAGCCAAACUUAGCGACACAAAUGAGGAAUAUGGCGGUGAUGAAAAGAAUGAAGAUAUCCCAGAAGAAGGCACACUGGCAAAAAACCCUCACAUUAAAGAAACUCUGGGAGGAAUUGUGCUGUAUUGAAGGCACAAUGGAUAAAUAGCUGGAAACUAAUUCAGAUUUAGAAAGGAGUACAACAAUUCAUGGAGGAAUAACAAAGAGGCUCACUCCAUACCGUAUGUCAUACAGGGAGAGGAAAAGGGCAGGCACUGCUCAAACUGAGCUCGGGGGAUCCCUACAAAGAAAAAGACAUUUUACUGUUCAGCGUUUCUACUAUUUUAAACUUCAAUGUACUAAAUAAAUAUUAGUUUUACCAUUUUUAAAUU
Molecule: long non-coding RNA, 18297 nt
Filed under: Equus asinus (donkey)
Lineage: Eukaryota; Metazoa; Chordata; Mammalia; Perissodactyla; Equidae
Description: lncRNA (ENSEASG00005026312.1)
Source: RNAcentral